GACGAACGCUGGCGGCGUGCUUAACACAUGCAAGUCGAACGGAAAGGCCCUGCUUUUGUGGGGUGCUCGAGUGGCGAACGGGUGAGUAACACGUGAGUAACCUGCCCUUGACUUUGGGAUAACUUCAGGAAACUGGAGCUAAUACCGGAUAGGAGCUCCUGCUGCAUGGUGGGGGUUGGAAAGUUUCGGCGGUUGGGGAUGGACUCGCGGCUUAUCAGCUUGUUGGUGGGGUAGUGGCUUACCAAGGCUUUGACGGGUAGCCGGCCUGAGAGGGUGACCGGCCACAUUGGGACUGAGAUACGGCCCAGACUUCUACGGGAGGCAGCAGUGGGGAAUAUUGCACAAUGGGCGGAAGCCUGAUGCAGCAACGCCGCGUGCGGGAUGACGGCCUUCGGGUUGUAAACCGCUUUCGCCUGUGACGAAGCGUGAGUGACGGUAAUGGGUAAAGAAGCACCGGCUAACUACGUG
This 468-nucleotide ribosomal RNA is filed under the name uncultured bacterium. RNAcentral's name for it is "partial 16S ribosomal RNA". It matches the Rfam family "Bacterial small subunit ribosomal RNA", at positions 28 to 507 of the family's 1533-position model. The record is from RNAcentral.